ACAUGCAGUCGAACGAGCUUCCGUUGAAUGACGUGCUUGCACUGAUUUCAACAAUGAAGCGAGUGGCGAACUGGUGAGUAACACGUGGGGAAUCUGCCCAGAAGCAGGGGAUAACACUUGGAAACAGGUGCUAAUACCGUAUAACAACAAAAUCCGCAUGGAUUUUGUUUGAAAGGUGGCUUCGGCUAUCACUUCUGGAUGAUCCCGCGGCGUAUUAGUUAGUUGGUGAGGUAAAGGCCCACCAAGACGAUGAUACGUAGCCGACCUGAGAGGGUAAUCGGCCACAUUGGGACUGAGACACGGCCCAAACUCCUACGGGAGGCAGCAGUAGGGAAUCUUCCACAAUGGACGAAAGUCUGAUGGAGCAAUGCCGCGUGAGUGAAGAAGGGUUUCGGCUCGUAAAACUCUGUUGUUAAAGAAGAACACCUUUGAGAGUAACUGUUCAAGGGUUGACGGUAUUUAACCAGAAAGCCACGGCUAACUACGUGCCAGCAGCCGCGGUAAUACGUAGGUGGCAAGCGUUGUCCGGAUUUAUUGGGCGUAAAGCGAGCGCAGGCGGUUUUUUAAGUCUGAUGUGAAAGCCUUCGGCUUAACCGGAGAAGUGCAUCGGAAACUGGGAGACUUGAGUGCAGAAGAGGACAGUGGAACUCCAUGUGUAGCGGUGGAAUGCGUAGAUAUAUGGAAAGAACACCAGUGGCGAAGGCGGCUGUCUAGUCUGUAACUGACGCUGAGGCUCGAAAGCAUGGGUAGCGAACAGGAUUAGAUACCCUGGUAGUCCAUGCCGUAAACGAUGAGUGCUAAGUGUUGGAGGGUUUCCGCCCUUCAGUGCUGCAGCUAACGCAUUAAGCACUCCGCCUGGG
Molecule: ribosomal RNA, 860 nt
Filed under: Lactobacillus sp. 7.2.49
Lineage: Bacteria; Bacillati; Bacillota; Bacilli; Lactobacillales; Lactobacillaceae
Description: bacterial SSU rRNA
Rfam family: Bacterial small subunit ribosomal RNA
Source: RNAcentral